This is a long non-coding RNA of Astatotilapia calliptera (eastern happy), 1118 nucleotides long. NCBI's taxonomy places the organism in Eukaryota, Metazoa, Chordata, Actinopteri, Cichliformes, Cichlidae. The record is from Ensembl.
GUUAGGCUGGCUCGGUGGGCUCCUUUUGUAUUUUACUUUCAGCCACGCUUGAAAACAAACAUUUAAAUUGAUUCACAUUAAGAUAAUACCUUUUAAAAUAAAUGUUCAGCUGCACUGACGGGAAAUCAAAGAGAAUCAAUGCUAAUGAGCACUUCUGAUAAACCAAGCUGUGGGAGUUUUGUGUAAUUUGUCAUUGAUCUUUAAUCAUAAUGUGGUGCAUUGUUCUACUGUUGCUAAUUAUAUGUUUUGUAAGAAACCUGUUACCACAGAAAGCCUGAAUGGAAUUCACCCCCAGCUGUAGCCACAAAGACUUGCACCACCGGCUUCUGUUUGCUGUGUGUUGACUGGAACUGCUGUAAACCCUUUAAUAUUGACAUUUGUCAGGCCUCCACUCAUCAUCGUUGUAAUGGUAUAACUGUAAAGUAAGCAAAUUGGGUUUUUGGCCAACAUCGCCAAACAAUUUUUUUUCACAUGUUUUUGUUUCAUGAGUGUUUCUGAGAUUCUUUUUUCUUUUUUUUAACCUCUUUCUUGUUUGCUGGCGUCCAUCCUCACAGGACGUCUCACCACAGCCCAUUUGCAGCACUGAUGACUUCGAGCACAAACUGCAGUGAGAAACGUCAUUAACAUCUGUUUGUGGUCCACACAGAGAGGUUUAAGGCCAUGUGAAAACAAAACAACAACACUGACGAGGCCAACAACUGCAGAGUCUGGGGCAGGGACCGAAUGUGGUUUCCCAUGACUGUGUCAUCCCAGCUUCCCUCCCCUGUCCACCCUCCCUCGGCCUUGUUGUUUUUCUUGCUCUCUUCUUCCCACUCACUCUCCACCAUUAAAUCUCGCCUAGUCUUCCUCUCUACGCUCUUCUCUCUUCUCUUUUACUAUACCCUCCCAGUUCCUGUCAGAUCAUUUUUCUUUCCUGUUGUGCUGACAUCUCACUGUCACCUCCUCUGCCUCUUCUUUCCUUCUUGUCCUCCCUGUUCUCCCCUCCACCAGCUCCAGCACUCAUUUCAUUAAGAUAUUGAGACAUUCAUCACAUUGGAUUAUAUUUAUAACCACACUGAAACUAAACUGAGUCAAUUCUAUAAUUGGGCCUACUGAUUCCAAGGCUUCACAUUUUCUUC